GAUCCCUUAGCUCAGCGGUAGAGCAUCUGAUUCCAGACCUAGUGUUUCCAGAAGGUCGUCCGUUCAAUCCGGGCAGGGAUCA
This is a non-coding RNA of Marasmius tenuissimus, 82 nucleotides long. The record is from the annotation of a GenBank genome assembly. Lineage: Eukaryota; Fungi; Basidiomycota; Agaricomycetes; Agaricales; Marasmiaceae.